AAGCAUAUAAUUAAGCGGAGGAAAAGAAACUAACCAGGAUUCCCCUAGUAAGGGCGACUGAAGCGGGAAGAGCUCAUAAUGUGAAUCUGCGCGUACGCGCCGAAUUGUGGUCUGUAGAAGCAUGUGUUUGGCACGCCGGGUCAAGUCCCUUGGAAAAGGGCAGCACAGAGGGUGAGACUCCCGUGAUUGCCUGGGCUGUGGCCAUUUGACACUAGCUUUCGACGAGUCGAGUUGUUUGGGAUUGCAGCUCAAAUUUGGUGGUAAAUUCCAUCUAAAGCUAAAUACGGGUGGGAGACCGAUAGCGUACAAGUACCGUGAGGGAAAGAUGCAAAGAACUUUGAAAAGAGAGUUAAAGAGUACCUGAAAUUGCUGAAAGGGAAGCGAAGGAAACCAGUGCUUUGCUUUGUCAUACUUCCCCUCCCGCUUGCGGGUGGGGCGCUGUGGCUUUGCAUUAGUCAAUGUUGGUUGGUCCCGGCAGAUACCUGGUCUCGGGAGGUAGGUCCACUCGUUGGUCCGAUACCGUGGCCGCGUGUGCUGGGAAAGACCGACGAUGACGAAAUGGUUUUCUUUACCCCGUCUUGAA
This 583-nucleotide ribosomal RNA is filed under the name Dimeregramma sp. SZCZP256. RNAcentral describes it as "LSU rRNA". It matches the Rfam family "Eukaryotic large subunit ribosomal RNA", at positions 36 to 658 of the family's 3401-position model. Lineage: Eukaryota; Bacillariophyta; Plagiogrammaphyceae; Plagiogrammales; Plagiogrammaceae. The record is from RNAcentral.